GUACUGGGUUCAGCAGCACCUACACUAAAAUUAGAACAAGAAUGAGGAGAGCAUGGUCCCUGCUCAAGAAUGAAAUGGGAAUUCAUGAAGACUUCUAUAAUUUU
This 104-nucleotide small nuclear RNA is filed under the name Neotoma lepida (desert woodrat). Lineage: Eukaryota; Metazoa; Chordata; Mammalia; Rodentia; Cricetidae. The record is from RNAcentral.